AGUCUCUUGGAAUUGUAUAUGAGAUAAAGCCUGCCCAGUGAAACAAAUUUAAACGGCCGCGGUAUCCUGACCGUGCAAAGGUAGCAUAAUAAUUUGUCUUGUAAUUUAAGACUUGAAUGAAUGGUUAAAUGAAAAAAACUCUUUUCCUUUUUUUAAAAUUAAAUAUAAUUUUAAGUAAAAAUGCUUAAAUAAAAUAAAAAGACAAGAAGACCCUAUAGAUUUUUAUUUUAAAUAUAAUAUAAAAAAAUUUAACUGGGGCGGUUAGAAAAUAUUAAAAACUUUUCUUUAAAAUUGGUUUAAAAACCUUAUAAUCCUAAUGGAAUAAGAAAAAGUUACCUUAGGGAUAACAGACUAAUUUUAUUUUAGAGUUCAUAUCGAAAAUAAAGUUUGGCACCUCGAUGUUGGCUUAGAAUAUUUUUAUCUUGAAGAAGGGAUAAAAAAUGGUUUGUUCAACCAUUAAAUUUCU
RNAcentral lists this ribosomal RNA (466 nucleotides) under Streptosyllis bidentata. RNAcentral's name for it is "partial 16S ribosomal RNA". It matches the Rfam family "Bacterial large subunit ribosomal RNA", at positions 1817 to 2597 of the family's 2925-position model. The record is from RNAcentral. Lineage: Eukaryota; Metazoa; Annelida; Polychaeta; Phyllodocida; Syllidae.